RNAcentral lists this transfer RNA (96 nucleotides) under Colletotrichum orbiculare MAFF 240422. RNAcentral's name for it is "tRNA-Trp for anticodon CCA". It matches the Rfam family "tRNA". From Rfam's summary of the family: Transfer RNA (tRNA) molecules are approximately 80 nucleotides in length. Their secondary structure includes four short double-helical elements and three loops (D, anti-codon, and T loops). Further hydrogen bonds mediate the characteristic L-shaped molecular structure. tRNAs have two regions of fundamental functional importance: the anti-codon, which is responsible for specific mRNA codon recognition, and the 3' end, to which the tRNAs corresponding amino acid is attached (by aminoacyl-tRNA synthetases). tRNAs cope with the degeneracy of the genetic code in two manners: having more than one tRNA (with a specific anti-codon) for a particular amino acid; and 'wobble' base-pairing, i.e. permitting non-standard base-pairing at the 3rd anti-codon position. Lineage: Eukaryota; Fungi; Ascomycota; Sordariomycetes; Glomerellales; Glomerellaceae. The record is from Rfam by way of RNAcentral.
GGCCCUAUGGCGCAACGGUAGCGCGUUCGACUCCAGCUCAGGAGUGCUCAGUUGAGGCAAAUCGAAAGGUUAUCCGUUCAAAUCGGGUUGGGGUCA